This 460-nucleotide ribosomal RNA is filed under the name uncultured bacterium. RNAcentral's name for it is "partial 16S ribosomal RNA". It matches the Rfam family "Bacterial small subunit ribosomal RNA", at positions 338 to 795 of the family's 1533-position model. The record is from RNAcentral.
CCUACGGGUGGCAGCAGUGAGGAAUAUUGGUCAAUGGGCGCGAGCCUGAACCAGCCAAGUAGCGUGAAGGAUGACUGCCCUACGGGUUGGAAACUUCUUUUAUAAAGGAAUAAAGUGAGGAACGUGUGCCCUUUUGUAUGUACUUUAUGAAUAAGGAUCGGCUAACUCCGUGCCAGCAGCCGCGGUAAUACGGAGGAGCCGAGAGUUAUCCGGAUUGAAGGGGUUUAAAGGGAGCGUAGAUGGGUUGUUAAGUCAGUUGUGAAAGUUUGCGGCUCAACCGUAAAAUUGCAAUUGAUACUGGCAGCUUUGAGUACAGUUGAGGUAGGCGGAAUUCGUGGUGUAGCGGUGAAAUGCUUAGAUAUCACGAAGAACUCCGAUUGCGAAGGCAGCCUACUAAACUGCCACUGACAUUGAUGCUCGAAAGUGUGGGUAUCAAACAGGAUUAGAUACCCCAGUAGUC